RNAcentral lists this ribosomal RNA (684 nucleotides) under Pseudomonas cedrina. Its description in RNAcentral is "bacterial SSU rRNA". It matches the Rfam family "Bacterial small subunit ribosomal RNA", at positions 15 to 694 of the family's 1533-position model. Lineage: Bacteria; Pseudomonadati; Pseudomonadota; Gammaproteobacteria; Pseudomonadales; Pseudomonadaceae. The record is from RNAcentral.
GAUCCUGGCUCAGAUUGAACGCUGGCGGCAGGCCUAACACAUGCAAGAAGAGCGGUAGAGAGAAGCUUGCUUCUCUUGAGAGCGGCGGACGGGUGAGUAAUGCCUAGGAAUCUGCCUGGUAGUGGGGGAUAACGUUCGGAAACGGACGCUAAUACCGCAUACGUCCUACGGGAGAAAGCAGGGGACCUUCGGGCCUUGCGCUAUCAGAUGAGCCUAGGUCGGAUUAGCUAGUUGGUGAGGUAAUGGCUCACCAAGGCGACGAUCCGUAACUGGUCUGAGAGGAUGAUCAGUCACACUGGAACUGAGACACGGUCCAGACUCCUACGGGAGGCAGCAGUGGGGAAUAUUGGACAAUGGGCGAAAGCCUGAUCCAGCCAUGCCGCGUGUGUGCAGAAGGUCUUCGGAAUGUAAAGCACUUUAAGUUGAUAGGAAGGGUUGUAGAUUAAUACGCUGCAAUUUUGACGUUACCGACAGAAUAAGCACCGGCUAACUCUGUGCCAGCAGCCGCGGUAAUACAGAGGGUGCAAGCGUUCAUCGGAAUUACUGAGCGUAAAGCGCGCGUAGGUGGUUUGUUAAGUUGGAUGUGAAAUCCCCGGGCUCAACCUGGGAACUGCAUUCAAACCUGACUGACUAGAGUGUGGUAGAGGGUGGUGGAAUUUCCUGUGUAGCGGUGAAUUGCGUAGA